GUAGGGAAUCUUCCACAAUGGACGAAAGUCUGAUGGAGCAACGCCGCGUGAGUGAAGAAGGUUCUCGGAUCGUAAAACUCUGUUGUGAGGGAAGAACAAGUACCGGAGUAACUGCCGGUACCUUGACGGUACCUCAUUAGAAAGCCACGGCUAACUACGUGCCAGCAGCCGCGGUAAUACGUAGGUGGCAAGCGUUGUCCGGAAUCAUUGGGCGUAAAGCGCGCGCAGGCGGUCCCUUAAGUCUGAUGUGAAAGCCCACGGCUCAACCGUGGAGGGUCAUUGGAAACUGGGGGACUUGAGUGCAGAAGAGGAAAGCGGAAUUCCAAGUGUAGCGGUGAAAUGCGUAGAGAUUUGGAGGAACACUAGUGGCGAAGGCGGCUUUCUGGUCUGUAACUGACGCUGAGGCGCGAAAGCGUGGGGAGCAAACAGGAUUAGAAACCCGUGUAGUCC
RNAcentral lists this ribosomal RNA (450 nucleotides) under uncultured bacterium. Its description in RNAcentral is "partial 16S ribosomal RNA". It matches the Rfam family "Bacterial small subunit ribosomal RNA", at positions 354 to 796 of the family's 1533-position model. The record is from RNAcentral.